ACCUGGCUCACACCGGUUUAAACUCAGAUCAUGUAAAAUUUUAAAGGUCGAACAGACCCAAUAUACCAGCUUCUACACCAAUAAUUCAUUUUAAUCCAACAUCGAGGUCGCAAUCUUUUUUUUCGAUAAGAACUCUAAAAAAAAUUACGCUGUUAUCCCUAAGGUAAUUUUAUCUUAUAAUCUUCCUAAAGGAUCAUGUACUCAUUCAUAAAUGGUUCUACUUAAAAAAAAGUUUAUUUAAUUUUUUUGUCACCCCAACAAAAUAUUCUUUCUAUUAUAAUUCAUUUAAAUCCUUAAUUCUAGUUCAAUAAAAAAAAUAUAAAACUCUAUAGGGUCUUCUCGUCUUCUAUAAAUAUUUAAGCUUUUUAACUUAAAAAUAAAAUUCAAAUAAAAUUUUCCAGAGACAGAAACCCCCUCAUCAAACCUUUCAUACAAGCUUUCAAUUAAAAAACUAAUGAUUAUGCUACCUUUGCACGGUCAGUAUACCGCGGCCAUUAAAUUUCUCAUUGGGCAGGCUAGACCUAAAAUUAUAAUCAAUAGGCC
Molecule: ribosomal RNA, 543 nt
Filed under: Trigonopterus sp. 627 MB-2015
Lineage: Eukaryota; Metazoa; Arthropoda; Insecta; Coleoptera; Curculionidae
Description: partial 16S ribosomal RNA
Source: RNAcentral